This 354-nucleotide ribosomal RNA is filed under the name uncultured Bacteroidota bacterium. RNAcentral describes it as "bacterial SSU rRNA". It matches the Rfam family "Bacterial small subunit ribosomal RNA", at positions 1045 to 1397 of the family's 1533-position model. Lineage: Bacteria; Pseudomonadati; Bacteroidota. The record is from RNAcentral.
AUGGCUGUCGUCAGCUCGUGCCGUGAGGUGUUGGGUUAAGUCCCGCAACGAGCGCAACCCCUAUGUUUAGUUGCCAGCACGUCAAGGUGGGGACUCUAAACAGACUGCCUGCGCAAGCAGAGAGGAAGGCGGGGACGACGUCAAGUCAUCAUGGCCCUUACGUCCGGGGCUACACACGUGCUACAAUGGAUGGUACAGCGGGCAGCUACACAGCAAUGUGGUGCCAAUCUCGAAAAGCCAUUCACAGUUCGGAUCGGGGUCUGCAACUCGACCCCGUGAAGUUGGAUUCGCUAGUAAUCGCGUAUCAGCAAUGACGCGGUGAAUACGUUCCCGGGCCUUGUACACACCGCCCGU